UUUUUAAAUAAUUGAACGAAUUGCAGUUGACAGGAUAUUCAUUGGAGCAAAGCAACAAACAAAAUUUAGAUCAAGUUUUCCAUCAUCUCAAGUCAUUGAAAGGAAGAAUAGGUGGAUCUGCAGCAAUUUUAUUAGACUCAAUAUUCCAAUUACGAGCUUCAAAUUGGGGUCAUUCUACUGAAGAACUCUCAGAUUCAGAUCAAGAUAACGAUGUAUUUGAUGGAUUACCAACUAAAGUUAUGUACGACAUUGAUGGAGGUUCAUUAACAACUGAAGAAAGUGAAUUUAUUGCGUCCCAUAUCAACUCGAAUGAAGAUUAUGAUACAGACGAUUUCGAUCCUGACGAAUUAUGUGAUCCCGAACCAGAAAUGGACGAAGAAAUACAAGAGGCUUUCAAGGAAUUCCUUAGAUUUAGUAGUGGUAAACAUUAGUGUGUAAUGUUGGCAUAGUCUUGUAAAAAAUUUGUCUCUGAGUUGUGAUUUCAUGUUUUUUUUAGAAAGCGUCAAUAUGCGUGUAAGCUGUGAAUUUUUUUACUGAUACCUACUUAUUAUUUAUAAGUCUAUACCUAAAUUGAUGUAUACAUCACAAUCCCAAUAAAAUGUUCUUAUUUUAAAUUGAGAUUUAUCCAACUAAAACAAAGUUUUAAUAAUAGUUACUACAAUUUUCUACACUAUUAUUCGAAUAUCCAUAAAGAUAUUUUUAUUUUAAAUUUAAAGUGGACAUUACCUUGAGUAACAUCAAGUGAUCGCAACAUACUUUAUACUGAAGUAAAUAUAUAUGUUACAGUUAAAAAUCAUUUUUCGUUAGAACUCGUUUUCCCUGGUUAAAACUAGUUUUUACCUAAUGUCUUUGUUAAAACUAGAAAUACCCAUUUAAAACUAGAAUUUACCACUGAUCUACUUGAGUUUCAGAUAAAACUAAUUGUCACAUCGAGUUGUAGUUAAAACUAGCACUAGAAAAAAUAAUUUAGAAUAAAAAACAAGAUAUAGUUUUUGAUAUAUUUAUUGAAAAGAUUUAAGACACUGAGAACCAAAUAAUCUAACACUGAAGGAACAUUUUAGGGAACAUCGACUUAACCCUUAAAGGACGGAGUUUUUUGUUUAUAAAUAAUGAAUAAUAUUUGACAGUUUCGUUUAAUAUAUGUAACCUAAAAACAACCUUAAGAUAACAAAAUAAAUCUUUAGUUUCUUUAAACCAGAUGUUACCACAUGACAACGCUAAAUUUGAUAUUUGUCCAAUGUAAUAUUAGAAAUAUUAUUUCUUUGUAAGACAGAAACACAGAAAGUUUAAAAUUGGGAAGUUACAAUUUAAGUAGAGACCUACAUUGCAUUUAAUGCAGAUAUGCAUUAUUGAAUUGCUUCACUCUUUUAUAGAACUCUUUAUGCACUUCCUAGCAUCAGUGUGUUUGAAUUCCAGUUUUCAUUUUUUGCUACUUCAUUCAUUUGAUGUAUUGUUUUCCUUUGUCGUCCCCCUUCCUGUGCUAUUUGUUGUAGCCAAGUUUUCAUGGGCCUCACUUUCCUUCUUUAAUUAUAUCUUUUUGCUUAUGUCACUUUUCUUAUUAUAUUUUUGGUGUUUACCUCCUUUAUUAUCCUAUCCAUCCUUGUCCCUGCUAUUUUCCUUAGUUGCUUCAUCUCCACAUGCAAAAGUGGUCACUAUCUAUUCUUUGUCCUUUCAUUAUAACUACCAUUCUUUUGCAUUCUCGAUAUUUACUACCAUUCCCAGGUCUUCUAUUGUCUUUUUUCCAUUUUCUUGAAUGUAUCAGCUAUGAUUACUAUAUCGUCUGCAUAUACUAAUCCUAGUCUAUUUCUACCGGUUUUAGGUUUCUGUAACUAAUUAUUGUAACGUUUUUCUAAUUUAAACUUUAAAUUUAAAUUAGAAUUAGAAAAUUUAAAUUAAUAUUUAAACUGUUUUUCAACAAUUUGUUCCAAAAAAAUAGUUUCUGUUUAUAAAAAGCAUACUUCAAAGGCAAUAUCAAAGACGCCGCCGCAUUCGCCAAAUUUUAUAAUUCCAUUAUAGUUUUACAUUACACACUAUUUACACUAUCAUUACAUAACACUCACAAUUACACUGUCUAACGCGCGUUUCGAUAAGCAACUUAACGUCCUCAGAUAACAAUAGUUUUUUGCGUGAACUCACUACACUGGGGAGAUUUAUGGGUAUAUUAUGUAAAAAGCGCAAACUUAAAAAAGGAUUGAUCUAUAUUGUUAAGAAUGUAUUUUCUUAUUUAUUCAGUGAGGUAAUUAUUUAAACUUUGUUUUAAUUUUAAUGAACAAACUUGAGGAAGUGAUCAGUAAUUGUGUAUUUUGUCUAGUACCAAUAUAAUUUGUAAUUUUGAAAAUGGUUUGGAUAUUUUUCAAAUCUCUUAGAACCCCAUAGAUAUUUGUAAAAAAAUUCAAAUCAAUUUCGGAAUCAAUUUUAACCACCACCGUUAACAAACCAGUUGAUAUUGGAUUGUUUUAUCGCGUAUACAGACAAAAUGAAAUGAUAUUUUGAAUUUCUUUGAUCUGUUAAGACAAAACGCUUCAAAUCAUGGGCGUCACCAGAAAGGGACAAGGGGGCCACGACCUCCCCCUGGAGCAGCGAAAAUAAAACUUAAAUUUGUAAAUAAAAAAUUAGGGCGACUGAUAAUGUUUUUAUUAAAAAUGAACUAAAAACGUGAAUGUAACGUUUGUUUUAUUAAUACAUACACAACGGCUUGUUGAUACUGUAA
Molecule: long non-coding RNA, 2710 nt
Organism: Diorhabda carinulata
Lineage: Eukaryota; Metazoa; Arthropoda; Insecta; Coleoptera; Chrysomelidae
Exons: 3
Source: RefSeq, a predicted model, not a curated record